Molecule: ribosomal RNA, 2763 nt
Filed under: human gut metagenome
Description: bacterial LSU rRNA
Rfam family: Bacterial large subunit ribosomal RNA
Source: RNAcentral
UUAAGCGACUAAGCGUACACGGUGGAUGCCCUGGCAGUCAGAGGCGAUGAAGGACGUGCUAAUCUGCGAUAAGCGUCGGUAAGGUGAUAUGAACCGUUAUAACCGGCGAUUUCCGAAUGGGGAAACCCAGUGUGUUUCGACACACUAUCAUUAACUGAAUCCAUAGGUUAAUGAGGCGAACCGGGGGAACUGAAACAUCUAAGUACCCCGAGGAAAAGAAAUCAACCGAGAUUCCCCCAGUAGCGGCGAGCGAACGGGGAGCAGCCCAGAGCCUGAAUCAGUGUGUGUGUUAGUGGAAGCGUCUGGAAAGGCGCGCGAUACAGGGUGACAGCCCCGUACACAAAAAUGCACAUGCUGUGAGCUCGAUGAGUAGGGCGGGACACGUGGUAUCCUGUCUGAAUAUGGGGGGACCAUCCUCCAAGGCUAAAUACUCCUGACUGACCGAUAGUGAACCAGUACCGUGAGGGAAAGGCGAAAAGAACCCCGGCGAGGGGAGUGAAAAAGAACCUGAAACCGUGUACGUACAAGCAGUGGGAGCACGCUUAGGCGUGUGACUGCGUACCUUUUGUAUAAUGGGUCAGCGACUUAUAUUCUGUAGCAAGGUUAACCGAAUAGGGGAGCCGAAGGGAAACCGAGUCUUAACUGGGCGUUAAGUUGCAGGGUAUAGACCCGAAACCCGGUGAUCUAGCCAUGGGCAGGUUGAAGGUUGGGUAACACUAACUGGAGGACCGAACCGACUAAUGUUGAAAAAUUAGCGGAUGACUUGUGGCUGGGGGUGAAAGGCCAAUCAAACCGGGAGAUAGCUGGUUCUCCCCGAAAGCUAUUUAGGUAGCGCCUCGUGAAUUCAUCUCCGGGGGUAGAGCACUGUUUCGGCAAGGGGGUCAUCCCGACUUACCAACCCGAUGCAAACUGCGAAUACCGGAGAAUGUUAUCACGGGAGACACACGGCGGGUGCUAACGUCCGUCGUGAAGAGGGAAACAACCCAGACCGCCAGCUAAGGUCCCAAAGUCAUGGUUAAGUGGGAAACGAUGUGGGAAGGCCCAGACAGCCAGGAUGUUGGCUUAGAAGCAGCCAUCAUUUAAAGAAAGCGUAAUAGCUCACUGGUCGAGUCGGCCUGCGCGGAAGAUGUAACGGGGCUAAACCAUGCACCGAAGCUGCGGCAGCGACGCUUAUGCGUUGUUGGGUAGGGGAGCGUUCUGUAAGCCUGUGAAGGUGUGCUGUGAGGCAUGCUGGAGGUAUCAGAAGUGCGAAUGCUGACAUAAGUAACGAUAAAGCGGGUGAAAAGCCCGCUCGCCGGAAGACCAAGGGUUCCUGUCCAACGUUAAUCGGGGCAGGGUGAGUCGACCCCUAAGGCGAGGCCGAAAGGCGUAGUCGAUGGGAAACAGGUUAAUAUUCCUGUACUUGGUGUUACUGCGAAGGGGGGACGGAGAAGGCUAUGUUGGCCGGGCGACGGUUGUCCCGGUUUAAGCGUGUAGGCUGGUUUUCCAGGCAAAUCCGGAAAAUCAAGGCUGAGGCGUGAUGACGAGGCACUACGGUGCUGAAGCAACAAAUGCCCUGCUUCCAGGAAAAGCCUCUAAGCAUCAGGUAACAUCAAAUCGUACCCCAAACCGACACAGGUGGUCAGGUAGAGAAUACCAAGGCGCUUGAGAGAACUCGGGUGAAGGAACUAGGCAAAAUGGUGCCGUAACUUCGGGAGAAGGCACGCUGAUAUGUAGGUGAAGUCCCUCGCGGAUGGAGCUGAAAUCAGUCGAAGAUACCAGCUGGCUGCAACUGUUUAUUAAAAACACAGCACUGUGCAAACACGAAAGUGGACGUAUACGGUGUGACGCCUGCCCGGUGCCGGAAGGUUAAUUGAUGGGGUUAGCGCAAGCGAAGCUCUUGAUCGAAGCCCCGGUAAACGGCGGCCGUAACUAUAACGGUCCUAAGGUAGCGAAAUUCCUUGUCGGGUAAGUUCCGACCUGCACGAAUGGCGUAAUGAUGGCCAGGCUGUCUCCACCCGAGACUCAGUGAAAUUGAACUCGCUGUGAAGAUGCAGUGUACCCGCGGCAAGACGGAAAGACCCCGUGAACCUUUACUAUAGCUUGACACUGAACAUUGAGCCUUGAUGUGUAGGAUAGGUGGGAGGCUUUGAAGUGUGGACGCCAGUCUGCAUGGAGCCGACCUUGAAAUACCACCCUUUAAUGUUUGAUGUUCUAACGUUGACCCGUAAUCCGGGUUGCGGACAGUGUCUGGUGGGUAGUUUGACUGGGGCGGUCUCCUCCUAAAGAGUAACGGAGGAGCACGAAGGUUGGCUAAUCCUGGUCGGACAUCAGGAGGUUAGUGCAAUGGCAUAAGCCAGCUUGACUGCGAGCGUGACGGCGCGAGCAGGUGCGAAAGCAGGUCAUAGUGAUCCGGUGGUUCUGAAUGGAAGGGCCAUCGCUCAACGGAUAAAAGGUACUCCGGGGAUAACAGGCUGAUACCGCCCAAGAGUUCAUAUCGACGGCGGUGUUUGGCACCUCGAUGUCGGCUCAUCACAUCCUGGGGCUGAAGUAGGUCCCAAGGGUAUGGCUGUUCGCCAUUUAAAGUGGUACGCGAGCUGGGUUUAGAACGUCGUGAGACAGUUCGGUCCCUAUCUGCCGUGGGCGCUGGAGAACUGAGGGGGGCUGCUCCUAGUACGAGAGGACCGGAGUGGACGCAUCACUGGUGUUCGGGUUGUCAUGCCAAUGGCACUGCCCGGUAGCUAAAUGCGGAAGAGAUAAGUGCUGAAAGCAUCUAAGCACGAA